GAUGAACGCUGGCGGCGUGCCUAAUACAUGCAAGUCGAGCGAACGGACGAGAAGCUUGCUUCUCUGAUGUUAGCGGCGGACGGGUGAGUAACACGUGGAUAACCUACCUAUAAGACUGGGAUAACUUCGGGAAACCGGAGCUAAUACCGGAUAGUAUUUUGAACCGCAUGGUUCAAAAGUGAAAGACGGUCUUGCUGUCACUUAUAGAUGGAUCCGCGCUGCAUUAGCUAGUUGGUAAGGUAACGGCUUACCAAGGCAACGAUGCAUAGCCGACCUGAGAGGGUGAUCGGCCACACUGGAACUGAGACACGGUCCAGACUCCUACGGGAGGCAGCAGUAGGGAAUCUUCCGCAAUGGGCGAAAGCCUGACGGAGCAACGCCGCGUGAGUGAUGAAGGUCUUCGGAUCGUAAAACUCUGUUAUUAGGGAAGAACAUAUGUGUAAGUAACUGUGCACAUCUUGACGGUACCUAAUCAGAAAGCCACGGCUAACUACGUGCCAGCAGCCGCGGUAAUACGUAGGUGGCAAGCGUUAUCCGGAAUUAUUGGGCGUAAAGCGCGCGUAGGCGGUUUUUUAAGUCUGAUGUGAAAGCCCACGGCUCAACCGUGGAGGGUCAUUGGAAACUGGAAAACUUGAGUGCAGAAGAGGAAAGUGGAAUUCCAUGUGUAGCGGUGAAAUGCGCAGAGAUAUGGAGGAACACCAGUGGCGAAGGCGACUUUCUGGUCUGUAACUGACGCUGAUGUGCGAAAGCGUGGGGAUCAAACAGGAUUAGAUACCCUGGUAGUCCACGCCGUAAACGAUGAGUGCUAAGUGUUAGGGGGUUUCCGCCCCUUAGUGCUGCAGCUAACGCAUUAAGCACUCCGCCUGGGGAGUACGACCGCAAGGUUGAAACUCAAAGGAAUUGACGGGGACCCGCACAAGCGGUGGAGCAUGUGGUUUAAUUCGAAGCAACGCGAAGAACCUUACCAAAUCUUGACAUCCUUUGACAACUCUAGAGAUAGAGCCUUCCCCUUCGGGGGGGCAAAGUGACAGGUGGUGCAUGGUUGUCGUCAGCUCGUGUCGUGAGAUGUUGGGUUAAGUCCCGCAACGAGCGCAACCCUUAAGCUUAGUUGCCAUCAUUAAGUUGGGCACUCUAAGUUGACUGCCGGUGACAAACCGGAGGAAGGUGGGGAUGACGUCAAAUCAUCAUGCCCCUUAUGAUUUGGGCUACACACGUGCUACAAUGGACAAUACAAAGGGCAGCGAAACCGCGAGGUCAAGCAAAUCCCAUAAAGUUGUUCUCAGUUCGGAUUGUAGUCUGCAACUCGACUACAUGAAGCUGGAAUCGCUAGUAAUCGUAGAUCAGCAUGCUACGGUGAAUACGUUCCCGGGUCU
Molecule: ribosomal RNA, 1373 nt
Filed under: uncultured bacterium
Lineage: Bacteria
Description: bacterial SSU rRNA
Rfam family: Bacterial small subunit ribosomal RNA
Source: RNAcentral